RNAcentral lists this ribosomal RNA (253 nucleotides) under uncultured bacterium. RNAcentral's name for it is "partial 16S ribosomal RNA". It matches the Rfam family "Bacterial small subunit ribosomal RNA", at positions 524 to 776 of the family's 1533-position model. The record is from RNAcentral.
UACGUAGGGCGCAAGCGUUGUCCGGAAUUAUUGGGCGUAAAGAGCUCGUAGGCGGCUUGUCACGUCGGGUGUGAAAGCCCGGGGCUUAACCCCGGGUCUGCAUUCGAUACGGGCAGGCUAGAGUGUGGUAGGGGAGAUCGGAAUUCCUGGUGUAGCGGUGAAAUGCGCAGAUAUCAGGAGGAACACCGGUGGCGAAGGCGGAUCUCUGGGCAUUACCUGACGCUGAGGAGCGAAAGCAUGGGGAGCGAACAGG